CGGCGGGUUAGGACGUCAACAACAGCCAACAAAUUAUUAGAAAUGAAGACCAUUUGUGAAAUGAAGAUUUUCAGGUUCCUGGCCACAUAUGUUCUCAUGUAUUUUCGAACGGACUUUCUCUGACUGUUGACCGCGGAAAACCGUGAACGAGGUUAUCAGAGAGCUGCGAUAAGAGAGGAAAACGGAGAGGAAGAGAAGCAGCCCGACGCGGUGUGAAGGAAUGGAAUAAACCCCAGAGCAGAACCAGAGGAAGGAGGGAUGACUGCCGUGAGAUGAAAGAGGGAUAGAGCAGGACACAGAACAACUCGAGAGACCAUUCAGCUGUGAAGAGACAGAAGAAGCCAGAAGAUCACACAAACACCCAAAGGCUUCGCACGUGUAUGCCUCCGCCUCCAAGGGGAUGGCGUUCUGGAAGCAGUGUAAAAGAGAUGACGCCCUCCUCGGCCUUCCACACCUGGAAGAUGUACUGCACCCUGGAGCACAGUCUCUGUCGCAAAAUGGUGGGAAAGACAUGGACAUACACUUGCU
Molecule: long non-coding RNA, 528 nt
Organism: Oncorhynchus tshawytscha (Chinook salmon)
Lineage: Eukaryota; Metazoa; Chordata; Actinopteri; Salmoniformes; Salmonidae
Source: Ensembl